AGCAGUCGCCGCGGGAAUACGUAGGUCCCGAGCGUUGUCCGGAUUUAUUGGGCGUAAAGCGAGCGCAGGCGGUUAGAUAAGUCUGAAGUUAAAGGCUGUGGCUUAACCAUAGUACGCUUUGGAAACUGUUUAACUUGAGUGCAAGAGGGGAGAGUGGAAUUCCAUGUGUAGCGGUGAAAUGCGUAGAUAUAUGGAGGAACACCGGUGGCGAAAGCGGCUCUCUGGUCAGUCACUGACGCUGAGGCUCGAAAGCGUGGGUAGCGAACAGGAUUAGAUACCCCGGUAGUCCCUGUCUCUUAUACA
This 303-nucleotide ribosomal RNA is filed under the name uncultured bacterium. Its description in RNAcentral is "partial 16S ribosomal RNA". It matches the Rfam family "Bacterial small subunit ribosomal RNA", at positions 507 to 808 of the family's 1533-position model. The record is from RNAcentral.